This 73-nucleotide transfer RNA is filed under the name Camelus dromedarius (Arabian camel). It matches the Rfam family "tRNA". Rfam says of the family: Transfer RNA (tRNA) molecules are approximately 80 nucleotides in length. Their secondary structure includes four short double-helical elements and three loops (D, anti-codon, and T loops). RNAcentral also lists the same sequence under 1 other name. Lineage: Eukaryota; Metazoa; Chordata; Mammalia; Artiodactyla; Camelidae. The record is from Rfam by way of RNAcentral.
GAGGGUAACAGCUCAGUGGUAGAGCAUGUGCUCAGCAAGCAUGAGGUCCUGGGUUCAAUCCCCAGUACCUCCA